AUUUUCAAAUCACGUGAUUUGGGACUUUGGGGGAAAAAAUCAACAACAUAGGAAAUCUUGGAUUCUUCACCAUAAGCAGACCUUGGUGACUUCCAGUACCAAGAUGGCAGAAUGAGGAAGGAACCCUCCAAAGCCCUCCCAACAACUUGAACUGCCUCAGAGUUGAUCAAGGAGCAGGGAAGCAGCUCACCAGCCUGGAAUUGAUACCUCUAAGAUUGAGGUACAACAGAAAAAAAAAGUAGAGAAGACAAGACCUACAAGGUGGUAAGGAAGUAAUGAGAAGGGGUAACUCAAAAUAGAAGUUUUAAUAUCCACAAGGAAUAUGGGACUAACAAAGAAAUAUGGCUCUGGGGGAGGAAUCCUUCUGCCUUCAAGAGAAUACACACAGGGUCUCAAUCUCUUUUCAAGGAGAAGUACCUGAAGGAGAGAGAAAUUUUGGGAAGAAGUUGACAUGUAGAGGAGCUCGGUGCCUCUAGGUCCUGGGCAGCUCACUAAAGCUGCAAGUUACACAAGAGCAUCAGUUAUAGUUGAGUUGCCCAAUCUGCUUUGGUGGAGGGAGUUUCUACACAGGUCUGGAACAGCAACAACAAAAAUACAAUUUUGCAGGGGAAGGAGUGGUUUUACACAGAGAAAAUAAAUGAGAGAAAAAAGAAAGAUCUGUUGUUUUUAA
This is a long non-coding RNA of Vombatus ursinus (common wombat), 670 nucleotides long. RefSeq lists it as uncharacterized. NCBI's taxonomy places the organism in Eukaryota, Metazoa, Chordata, Mammalia, Diprotodontia, Vombatidae. The record is from RefSeq and is a predicted model, not a curated record. The transcript has 5 exons.